Molecule: ribosomal RNA, 447 nt
Filed under: uncultured bacterium
Lineage: Bacteria
Description: SSU rRNA
Rfam family: Bacterial small subunit ribosomal RNA
Source: RNAcentral
AGAGCGAACGCUGGCGGCAGGCUUAACACAUGCAAGUCGAGCGGGCGUAGCAAUACGUCAGCGGCAGACGGGUGUGUAACGCGUGGGAACGUACCUUUUGGUUCGGAACAACACAGGGAAACUUGUGCUAAUACCGGAUAAGCCCUUACGGGGAAAGAUUUAUCGCCAAAAGAUCGGCCCGCGUCUGAUUAGCUAGUUGGUGAGGUAACGGCUCACCAAGGCGACGAUCAGUAGCUGGUCUGAGAGGAUGAUCAGCCACAUUGGGACUGAGACACGGCCCAAACUCCUACGGGAGGCAGCAGUGGGGAAUAUUGGACAAUGGGCGCAAGCCUGAUCCAGCCAUGCCGCGUGAGUGAUGAAGGCCCUAGGGUUGUAAAGCUCUUUUGUGCGGGAAGAUAAUGACGGUACCGCAAGAAUAAGCCCGGCUAACUUCGUGCCAGCAGCCGC